Molecule: ribosomal RNA, 491 nt
Filed under: uncultured bacterium
Lineage: Bacteria
Description: partial 16S ribosomal RNA
Rfam family: Bacterial small subunit ribosomal RNA
Source: RNAcentral
AGUGAACGCUGGCGGUAGGCCUAACACAUGCAAGUCGAACGGCAGCACAGUAAGAGCUUGCUCUUACGGGUGGCGAGUGGCGGACGGGUGAGGAAUACAUCGGAAUCUACUUUUUCGUGGGGGAUAACGUAGGGAAACUUACGCUAAUACCGCAUACGACCUACGGGUGAAAGCAGGGGAUCUUCGGACCUUGCGCGAUUGAAUGAGCCGAUGUCGGAUUAGCUAGUUGGCGGGGUAAAGGCCCACCAAGGCGACGAUCCGUAGCUGGUCUGAGAGGAUGAUCAGCCACACUGGAACUGAGACACGGUCCAGACUCCUACGGGAGGCAGCAGUGGGAAUAUUGGACAAUGGGCGCAAGCCUGAUCCAGCCAUACCGCGUGGGUGAAGAAGGCCUUCGGGUUGUAAAGCCCUUUUGUUGGGAAAGAAAAGCAGCAGGUUAAUACCCCGCUGUUCUGACGGUACCCAAAGAAUAGGCACCGGCUAACUUCGUG